RNAcentral lists this ribosomal RNA (508 nucleotides) under uncultured bacterium. RNAcentral's name for it is "bacterial SSU rRNA". It matches the Rfam family "Bacterial small subunit ribosomal RNA", at positions 29 to 514 of the family's 1533-position model. The record is from RNAcentral.
AGCGAACGUUAGCGGCGGGCCUAACACAUGCAAGUCGAACGCGAAAGGUCUUCGGACUGAGUAGAGUGGCGCACGGGUGAGUAACACGUAGGUAAUCUACCCUUUGGCGGGGGAUAACGUUCCGAAAGGAGCGCUAAUACCGCAUAAGACCACGGAGUCUCCGGACGCUGUGGGAAAAGGUGGCCUCUUCUUGAAAGCUAUCACCGAAGGAUGAGCCUGCGUCCCAUCAGCUAGUUGGUAAGGUAAUGGCUUACCAAGGCGAAGACGGGUAGCUGGUUUGAGAGAAUGAUCAGCCACACUGGCACUGGAACACGGGCCAGACUCCUACGGGAGGCAGCAGUGAGGAAUAUUGGGCAAUGGGCGAAAGCCUGACCCAGCCACGCCGCGUGAGUGAUGAAGGCCCUCGGGUCGUAAAGCUCUGUGGAGAGGGACGAAAACCCUGGUUUCAAAUAGGCUCCAGGCUUGACGGUACCUCUUUAGCAAGCACCGGCUAACUCUGUGCCAGCAG